CGCGAAUGGCUCAUUACAACAGCUAUAAUUUACUUGAAUUUGACAACCCUACUUGGAUACCGGUGGUAAUUCUAGCGCUAAUACAUGCACCAAAGCUCCGACCGCGAGGGAAGAGCGCAUUUAUUAGAACAAAACCACACGGCUUCGGCCGUCCAAUGUUGACUCAGAAUAACUAAGCUGAUCGCAUGGUCUUGCACCGGCGACGUUUCUUUCAAGUAUCUGCCUUAUCAACUUUCGAUGGUAGUGUAUCUGACUACCAUGGUGAUGACGGGUAACGGAGGAUAAGGGUUCGACUCCGGAGAAGGGGCCUGAGAAAUGGCCACUACGUCUAAGGAUGGCAGCAGGCGCGCAAAUUACCCACUCUCAGUACGAGGAGGUAGUGACGAGAAAUAACGAGACUGUUCUCUUAUGAGGCCAGUCAUCGGAAUGGGUACAAUUUAAACCCUUUAGCGAGUAUCUAUGAGAGGGCAAGUCUGGUGCCAGCAGCCGCGGUAAUUCCAGCU
RNAcentral lists this ribosomal RNA (503 nucleotides) under Bitylenchus hispaniensis. RNAcentral's name for it is "SSU rRNA". It matches the Rfam family "Eukaryotic small subunit ribosomal RNA", at positions 88 to 590 of the family's 1831-position model. The record is from RNAcentral. Lineage: Eukaryota; Metazoa; Nematoda; Chromadorea; Rhabditida; Telotylenchidae.